AUUGUCCUGCCACUUACCCUUUUCUGAGAUGGUGAAGAUAAUGAUCAAUAAAUACUGAGGGAACUCCGAGAUCAGUGCCAGCGUGGGUCCUCUGUAUGCUAAGCGCGGGUCCCCUAGGUCCACUUUUUCUUUCUCUAUACUUUGUCUCUGUGUCUCAUUUCUUUUCUCAGGUCUCUCGUUCCACCUAACGAGGAAUGCCCAUAGAUGUGGAGGGGCAGGCCACCCCUUCAUUUACUGUGUGUAAUGUGUAGGGUUUACAAGCAUAAUUGAUUCUACCUUUAUAAACCCCUGAAGUUUACAAUAAAUUAUGUAAACCUCAGAAGAAAUUAUACUGGCUAAAUACAUAACCAUUUGUGGGCUCUAAGUGGUGUUGAAUGUUCUGUAAGUUGUACUUUAUUACUGAAUAAGGCUCAUGAGAAAUGAUAAACUAUUUUAAACAAUUCAAUUGAUGAAGCAUGUUUUUAAUAUGUGAUUUUGUAGCUCCAAUAUAAAUGAGUAUUUCACAUGAGGUCAUUCAAUGAAUACUAUUUUCCUCCUUUUUUUAGUUUCUGCAUUUUUUCCACAAAGAGAUACAUGUGCUUGCUGGUGCAAUACAGUUUGUUACAAAGAAGGACGGAAAGAAUCAUCCUAUAAAACAAGAAAGCAGAGAGCAAUUAAAACGGCAAGAAGGUUUAAAAGUUACUCUUCAAACAAGAAAAUGAGUCAUAAGGAGAGAACAUCCUAA
This 724-nucleotide long non-coding RNA is filed under the name Macaca mulatta (Rhesus monkey). Its description in RNAcentral is "lncRNA (ENSMMUG00000052801.1)". The record is from RNAcentral. Lineage: Eukaryota; Metazoa; Chordata; Mammalia; Primates; Cercopithecidae.